GACGAACGCUGGCGGCGUGCUUAACACAUGCAAGUCGAACGGAAAGACCCUGCUUUUGUGGGGUGCUCGAUUGGCGAACGGGUGAGUAACACGUGAGUAACCUGCCCUUGACUUUGGGAUAACUUCAGGAAACUGGGGCUAAUACCGGAUAGGAGCUCCUGCUGCAUGGUGGGGGUUGGAAAGUUUCGGCGGUUGGGGAUGGACUCGCGGCUUAUCAGCUUGUUGGUGGGGUAGUGGCUUACCAAGGCUUUGACGGGUAGCCGGCCUGAGAGGGUGACCGGCCACAUUGGGACUGCGAUACGGCCCAGACUCCUACGGGAGGCAGCAGUGGGGAAUAUUGCACAAUGGGCGGAAGCCUGAUGCAGCAACGCCGCGUGCGGGAUGACGGCCUUCGGGUUGUAAACCGCUUUCGCCUGUGACGAAGCGUGAGUGACGGUAAUGGGUAAAGAAGCACCGGCUAACUACGUG
This 468-nucleotide ribosomal RNA is filed under the name uncultured bacterium. RNAcentral's name for it is "partial 16S ribosomal RNA". It matches the Rfam family "Bacterial small subunit ribosomal RNA", at positions 28 to 507 of the family's 1533-position model. The record is from RNAcentral.